This 480-nucleotide ribosomal RNA is filed under the name uncultured Lewinella sp. RNAcentral describes it as "bacterial SSU rRNA". It matches the Rfam family "Bacterial small subunit ribosomal RNA", at positions 28 to 505 of the family's 1533-position model. The record is from RNAcentral. Lineage: Bacteria; Pseudomonadati; Bacteroidota; Saprospiria; Saprospirales; Lewinellaceae.
GAUGAACGCUAGCGGGAGGCCUAAUACAUGCAAGUCGAGCGAGAAGCUAGAUUUCGGUUUAGUGGAAAGCGGCGAACGGGUGAGUAACGCGUACGCAAUUUACCCUUGAGUGUGGAAUAGCCCUGGGAAACUGGGAUUAAUACCGCAUGGUUUAUGGAACUGGCAUCUGUUUCAUAAUAAAGCUUCGGCGCUCAAGGAUAAGCGUGCGUCCCAUUAGCUAGUUGGUAAGGUAACGGCUUACCAAGGCGAUGAUGGGUAGGGGGCGUGAGAGCGUGGCCCCCCACACGGGUACUGAGACACGGACCCGACUCCUACGGGAGGCAGCAGUAAGGAAUAUUGGACAAUGGACGCAAGUCUGAUCCAGCCAUCCCGCGUGCAGGAUGAAGGCGCUACGCGUUGUAAACUGCUUUUGUACAGGAAGAAACGCCCGGAUUUAUCUGGGCCUGACGGUACUGUAAGAAUAAGCACCGGCUAACUCCG